AGCAGCCGCGGUAAUUCCAGCUCCAAUAGCGUAUAUUAAAGUUGUUGCAGUUAAAAAGCUCGUAGUUGAAUUUCGGGAUCGGUAGGUUGGUCACUGCAUCCGCUAUGUACUGGCCUUACCGAUUCCUCCUUCUUGUAGAACUGUGAUGCCAUUAAUUUGGUGUUGCAGGGAAACAGGACUGUUACUUUGAAAAAAUUAGAGUGUUUAAAGCAGGCU
This 216-nucleotide ribosomal RNA is filed under the name uncultured Glomus. RNAcentral's name for it is "partial small subunit ribosomal RNA". It matches the Rfam family "Eukaryotic small subunit ribosomal RNA", at positions 569 to 786 of the family's 1831-position model. Lineage: Eukaryota; Fungi; Glomeromycota; Glomeromycetes; Glomerales; Glomeraceae. The record is from RNAcentral.